This 60-nucleotide microRNA precursor is filed under the name Dasypus novemcinctus (nine-banded armadillo). RNAcentral's name for it is "Dno-Mir-103-P1_pre stem-loop". It matches the Rfam family "mir-103/107 microRNA precursor family", at positions 11 to 70 of the family's 78-position model. From Rfam's summary of the family: This family consists of the mammalian microRNA (miRNA) precursors mir-103 and mir107. Animal miRNAs are transcribed as ~70nt precursors and subsequently processed by the Dicer enzyme to give a ~22nt product. The record is from RNAcentral. Lineage: Eukaryota; Metazoa; Chordata; Mammalia; Cingulata; Dasypodidae.
AGCUUCUUUACAGUGUUGCCUUGUGGAAUGGAGUUCAAGCAGCAUUGUACAGGGCUAUCA